GGAAGAGUAGCUCGGACUAAAAGCGCGACAUCGCGUCACAACGUCCGAGUGAACAACAUCCUG
Molecule: small RNA, 63 nt
Filed under: Psychrobacillus sp. FJAT-21963
Lineage: Bacteria; Bacillati; Bacillota; Bacilli; Caryophanales; Bacillaceae
Description: Bacillaceae-1 RNA
Rfam family: Bacillaceae-1 RNA
Source: Rfam by way of RNAcentral